CGGUACCCAGUUCGGAUUGUAGGCUGCAACUCGCCUACAUGAAGUCGGAGUUGCUAGUAAUCGCGGAUCAGAAUGCCGCGGUGAAUGCGUUCCCGGGUCUUGUACACACCGCCCGUCACACCAUGGAAGUUGGGGGCGCCCGAAGUUGCCUAAAGAAAUAAGGUACCUAAGGCGAAACCAAUNACUGGGGUGAAGUCGUAACAAGGUAAC
This 210-nucleotide ribosomal RNA is filed under the name uncultured bacterium. RNAcentral's name for it is "partial 16S ribosomal RNA". It matches the Rfam family "Bacterial small subunit ribosomal RNA", at positions 1282 to 1500 of the family's 1533-position model. The record is from RNAcentral.